UGGGGGAUAUUGCACAAUGGAGGAGACUCUGAUGCAGCAACGCCGCGUGAGGGAAGAAGGUCUUCGGAUUGUAAACCUCAGUAGUCAGGGACGAAAGAAAUGACGGUACCUGAAGAGUAAGCUCCGGCUAACUACGUGCCAGCAGCCGCGGUAAUACGUAGGGAGCGAGCGUUGUCCGGAUUUACUGGGUGUAAAGGGUGCGUAGGCGGGAUAGCAAGUCAGACGUGAAAUACCGAGGCUUAACUUCGGGGCUGCGUUUGAAACUGUUAUUCUUGAGUGAAGUAGAGGCAGGCGGAAUUCCUAGUGUAGCGGUGAAAUGCGUAGAUAUUAGGAGGAACACCAGUGGCGAAGGCGGCCUGCUGGGCUUUAACUGACGCUGAGGCACGAAAGCAUGGGGAGCAAACA
RNAcentral lists this ribosomal RNA (405 nucleotides) under uncultured bacterium. RNAcentral's name for it is "bacterial SSU rRNA". It matches the Rfam family "Bacterial small subunit ribosomal RNA", at positions 355 to 774 of the family's 1533-position model. The record is from RNAcentral.